Molecule: ribosomal RNA, 253 nt
Filed under: uncultured bacterium
Lineage: Bacteria
Description: partial 16S ribosomal RNA
Rfam family: Bacterial small subunit ribosomal RNA
Source: RNAcentral
UACGUAGGUGGCAAGCGUUGUCCGGAUUUAUUGGGUUUAAAGGGUGCGUAGGCGGCCUUGUAAGUCAGUGCUGAAAUAUCCCGGCUUAACCGGGAGGGUGGCAUUGAUACUGCAGGGCUUGAGUAAAGUCGAGGUUGGCGGAAUUGACGGUGUAGCGGUGAAAUGCUUAGAUAUCGUCAAGAACACCGAUAGUGAAGACAGCUAACUAAGCUUUAACUGACGCUGAGGCACGAAAGUGUGGGGAUCAAACAGG